This is a long non-coding RNA of Colias croceus (clouded yellow), 197 nucleotides long. RefSeq lists it as uncharacterized. The transcript has 3 exons. The record is from RefSeq and is a predicted model, not a curated record. NCBI's taxonomy places the organism in Eukaryota, Metazoa, Arthropoda, Insecta, Lepidoptera, Pieridae.
GUACAGAGAAAGUGACGAAAAAUGCCCGUAAACGAGUACUGUCCCCGGUACCACCAGGAAACGAGGAGGAAGUAUCAUACUUAUUAGAAUAUUUAGAAUCUGGUGUACUCAACAAUGAUGACAAUGAAGAUGAUCCUGAUUCUAUUUGCAAGAAUACACCGGAGUCAAUCAGUCAGAACAUCACCGACAAUCCAAUA